RNAcentral lists this ribosomal RNA (254 nucleotides) under uncultured bacterium. Its description in RNAcentral is "partial 16S ribosomal RNA". It matches the Rfam family "Bacterial small subunit ribosomal RNA", at positions 524 to 776 of the family's 1533-position model. The record is from RNAcentral.
GACAGAGGAGCCAAGCGUUGUCCGGAUUGACUGGGCGUAAAGCGCACGCAGGCGGUCGCGCGCGUGGGGUGUGAAAUCUGGCCGCUUAACGGCCAGGCGCCAUCCCAUACGGCGCGGCUGGAGCCAUGCAGAGGGCGGUGGAAUUGCCGGUGUAGUGGUGAAAUGCGUAGAUAUCUGGAGGAAUACCGGUGGCGAAGGCGGCAUCCUGGACCGGCAUUGACGCUGAGUGAGCGAAAGCCAGGGGAGCAAACGGG